Molecule: long non-coding RNA, 294 nt
Organism: Hordeum vulgare subsp. vulgare (domesticated barley)
Lineage: Eukaryota; Viridiplantae; Streptophyta; Magnoliopsida; Poales; Poaceae
Exons: 3
Source: RefSeq, a predicted model, not a curated record
GUGCAGUCAGAAGUAUUGGCUCCUGCUGUGAAAGGUACUUCAAAUGUGCUAAAGGCUUGCUCGGCUAUGAAGGUUCAGAAGAUUUUGCUAUUCGCUGUUGCAAAGGAGUCCUCGAAAUUCCUGCCCAUCUUGAAGGAAACAGCAAACUCAUUCAAGGGAAAGCUUUUAUUUGUUUUUGUGGAGCGUGACAAUGAGGAAGUUGGUGAACCUGUUGCCAAUUACUUUGGAAUUACUGGACAAGAGACCACGGUAAUACCUCUUAUUUAUUUUUCAUGUUUUCUAUGUAUCGAUUUA